CAGCCGCCGCGGUAACACCGGCAGCCCAAGUGGUAGUCAUGUUUAGUGGGUCUAAAGCGUCCGUAGCCGGCUAUGUAAGUUCCUUGGGAAAUUUGAUCGCUUAACGAUCAAGCUACCGGGGAAUACUACCUGGCUUGGGACCGGGAGAGGUUAGAGGUACUUCAAGGGUAGGGGUGAAAUCCGUUAAUCCUUGGGGGACCACCGGUAGCGAAGGCGUCUGACCAGACCGGAUCCGACGGUGAGGGACGAAGGCUAGGGGAGCGAACCGGAUUAGAUACCCCUGUAGUCCCUGUCUCUUAUA
This 301-nucleotide ribosomal RNA is filed under the name uncultured bacterium. Its description in RNAcentral is "partial 16S ribosomal RNA". It matches the Rfam family "Archaeal small subunit ribosomal RNA", at positions 459 to 759 of the family's 1478-position model. The record is from RNAcentral.